Salmo salar (Atlantic salmon) is the source of this 54-nucleotide non-coding RNA. The record is from Rfam. NCBI's taxonomy places the organism in Eukaryota, Metazoa, Chordata, Actinopteri, Salmoniformes, Salmonidae.
UGUAUUCACUACUGUAAGUCGCUCUGGAUAAGAGCAUCUGCUAAAUGACUUAAA